AAGCAGGUCUGAGCGCUCGGAGGACGGAGCAGAUGAGAGCAACGGUCUUCUGGGGUGACUUCUAAUUGACCACUGUUUUGGACAACACAGACCACACCUCGACUCUGGGUGUUUUUAGGGUUCAGAGUCUGCUGGAAAAGACGUUCACUCACAAGGCCGGGCAAGGCUGCGAUUGACACUCUUCUACCUGAGGGCUAGGAUGACUGGUGAAGCUACAGAGGUCCCCUGGUGACACUGCAGGGUGCUGUUGUAAUGGCAAUCCAGCUGUACAGAGGAACUGGUUCAGGGGUUAUAAGGUCCGAUGGAACUUGGUUAGGAUGAGAGCUGCUUAAUGAGUUUUCACUGUCACUAUUGCCAGGAUCCAGAAAUAUUCCAUGACUCUCUACUGUAGGAUGAGAGAGAAAGAGAGAAACAGUUGCUUAAGAUUUUAGAACAUGUGCAAGAUAAAAACGUAAAUGAUUUUAAUACAUUUAGGUUGAUUUAAAAAACUAUUUCAGUUAUUUCCCAACAUGGAGUUAGCUAAACAGAAAGGAAACGGUCAUAUUAAUAUGCAACAUUCUGUUUUUUUUUUUUGGAAUUUUGUUCAUACUCUUUGUAAUACAUAACUGUUCAAAAGUUCGAAGUUUGUAAGAUUUUUUAAUAUUUAAGUCUCUUUUUCUCACAAAGGCUGCAUUUAUUUGAUCAAAAAUACAGUAAAAC
Onychostoma macrolepis is the source of this 699-nucleotide long non-coding RNA. RefSeq lists it as uncharacterized. The record is from RefSeq and is a predicted model, not a curated record. Lineage: Eukaryota; Metazoa; Chordata; Actinopteri; Cypriniformes; Cyprinidae. The transcript is spliced from 3 exons.